This 1531-nucleotide ribosomal RNA is filed under the name uncultured prokaryote. Its description in RNAcentral is "partial 16S ribosomal RNA". It matches the Rfam family "Bacterial small subunit ribosomal RNA". The record is from RNAcentral.
CUGAAGAGUUUGAUCCUGGCUCAGAUUGAACGCUGGUGGUAUGCUUAACACAUGCAAGUCGAACGGUAACAGAAGAAGCUUGCUUCUUGCUGACGAGUGGCGGACGGGUGAGUAACGCGUAGGAAUCUACCUAUCUGUGGGGGAUACCAGUUGGAAACGACUUGUUAAUACCGCAUAAUAUCUGCGGAUUAAAGGGCAACUUGUUGCUGCCGCGGAUGGAUGAGCCUGCGUUAGAUUAGCUUGUUGGUGGGGUAAAGGCCUACCAAGGCUACGAUCUAUAGCUGAUUUGAGAGGAUGAUCAGCCACAUUGGAACUGAGACACGGUCCAAACUCCUACGGGAGGCAGCAGUGGGGAAUAUUGGACAAUGGGCGAAAGCCUGAUCCAGCAAUACCAUGUGUGUGAAGAAGGCCUUAGGGUUGUAAAGCACUUUAGUUGGGGAGGAAGUGUUAUGAGUUAAUAGCUCAUAAGAAGGACGUUACCUGAAGAAUAAGGACCGGCUAACUCCGUGCCAGCAGCCGCGGUAAUACGGGGGGUCCGAGCGUUAAUCGGAAUUACUGGGCGUAAAGGGUUCGUAGGUGGUAUGUUAAGUCAGAUGUGAAAGCCCAGGGCUCAACCUUGGAACUGCAUUUGAUACUGGCAAACUAGAGUAUAGUAGAGGAGUGGGGAAUUCCUGGUGUAGCGGUGAAAUGCGUAGAGAUCAGGAGGAACACCAAUGGCGAAGGCAACACUCUGGACUAAUACUGACACUGAGGGACGAAAGCGUGGGGAUCAAACAGGAUUAGAUACCCUGGUAGUCCACGCUGUAAACGAUGAGUACUAGCUGUUGGAUUCGGUGUAAAGGAUCUAGUGGCGCAGCUAACGCGUUAAGUACUCCGCCUGGGGACUACGGCCGCAAGGCUAAAACUCAAAGGAAUUGACGGGGACCCGCACAAGCGGUGGAGCAUGUGGUUUAAUUCGAUGCAACGCGAAGAACCUUACCUGGUCUUGACAUCCUGAGAACUUUCUAGAGAUAGAUUGGUGCCUUCGGGAACUCAGUGACAGGUGCUGCACGGCUGUCGUCAGCUCGUGUUGUGAAAUGUUGGGUUAAGUCCCGCAACGAGCGCAACCCCUAUUGAUAGUUACCAUCAUUAAGUUGGGUACUCUAUUGAGACUGCCGCUGACAAGGCGGAGGAAGGUGGGGACGACGUCAAGUCAUCAUGGCCCUUAUGACCAGGGCUACACACGUGCUACAAUGGAUAUUACAGAGGGCAGCGAUACUGCGAAGUGGAGCGAAACUCAGAAAGGUAUUCUUAGUCCGGAUUGCAGUCUGCAACUCGACUGCAUGAAGUCGGAAUCGCUAGUAAUCGCGAAUCAGAAUGUCGCGGUGAAUACGUUCCCGGGUCUUGUACACACCGCCCGUCACACCAUGGGAGUGGGUUGCUCCAGAAGUAGAUAGCUUAACGAAUGGGCGUUUACCACGGAGUGAUUCAUGACUGGGGUGAAGUCGUAACAAGGUAGCCGUAGGGGAACCUGCGGCUGGAUCACCUCCUU